GGACGGGUGAGUAAUGCCUGGGAAAUUGCCCUGAUGUGGGGGAUAACCAUUGGAAACGAUGGCUAAUACCGCAUAANGUCUACGGACCAAAGAGGGGGACCUUCGGGCCUCUCGCUUCAGGAUAUGCCCAGGUGGGAUUAGCUAGUUGGUGAGGUAAUGGCUCACCAAGGCGACGAUCCCUAGCUGGUCUGAGAGGAUGAUCAGCCACACUGGAACUGAGACACGGUCCAGACUCCUACGGGAGGNNGCAGUGGGGAAUAUUGCACAAUGGGCGCAAGCCUGAUGCAGCCAUGCCGCGUGUAUGAAGAAGGCCUUCGGGUUGUAAAGUACUUUCAGUCGUGAGGAAGGCAUUAACGUUAAUAGCGUUGGUGUUUGACGUUAGCGACAGAAGAAGCACCGGCUAACUCCGUGCCAGCAGCCGCGGUAAUACGGAGGGUGCGAGCGUUAAUCGGAAUUACUGGGCGUAAAAGNGCAUGCAGGUGGUUUGUUAAGUCAGAUGNGAAAGCCCGGGNNCUCAACCUCGGAACCGCAUUUGAAACUGG
RNAcentral lists this ribosomal RNA (542 nucleotides) under Vibrio sp. KR04-93. RNAcentral describes it as "bacterial SSU rRNA". It matches the Rfam family "Bacterial small subunit ribosomal RNA", at positions 100 to 636 of the family's 1533-position model. The record is from RNAcentral. Lineage: Bacteria; Pseudomonadati; Pseudomonadota; Gammaproteobacteria; Vibrionales; Vibrionaceae.